This 393-nucleotide ribosomal RNA is filed under the name Bacillus haynesii. Its description in RNAcentral is "bacterial SSU rRNA". It matches the Rfam family "Bacterial small subunit ribosomal RNA", at positions 1144 to 1533 of the family's 1533-position model. Lineage: Bacteria; Bacillati; Bacillota; Bacilli; Caryophanales; Bacillaceae. The record is from RNAcentral.
GGUGACUGCCGGUGACAAACCGGAGGAAGGUGGGGAUGACGUCAAAUCAUCAUGCCCCUUAUGACCUGGGCUACACACGUGCUACAAUGGGCAGAACAAAGGGCAGCGAAGCCGCGAGGCUAAGCCAAUCCCACAAAUCUGUUCUCAGUUCGGAUCGCAGUCUGCAACUCGACUGCGUGAAGCUGGAAUCGCUAGUAAUCGCGGAUCAGCAUGCCGCGGUGAAUACGUUCCCGGGCCUUGUACACACCGCCCGUCACACCACGAGAGUUUGUAACACCCGAAGUCGGUGAGGUAACCUUUUGGAGCCAGCCGCCGAAGGUGGGACAGAUGAUUGGGGUGAAGUCGUAACAAGGUAGCCGUAUCGGAAGGUGCGGCUGGAUCACCUCCUUUCUA